Molecule: ribosomal RNA, 321 nt
Filed under: uncultured Geobacillus sp.
Lineage: Bacteria; Bacillati; Bacillota; Bacilli; Caryophanales; Anoxybacillaceae
Description: bacterial SSU rRNA
Rfam family: Bacterial small subunit ribosomal RNA
Source: RNAcentral
CUCGUGUCGUGAGAUGUUGGGUUAAGUCCCGCAACGAGCGCAACCCUCGCCUCUAGUUGCCAGCAUCGGUUGGGCACUCUAGAGGGACUGCCGGCGACAAGUCGGAGGAAGUGGGGAUGACGUCAAAUCAUCAUGCCCCUUAUGACCUGGGCUACACACGUGCUACAAUGGGCGGUACAAAGGGCUGCGAACCCGCGAGGGGGAGCGAAUCCCAAAAAGCCGCUCUCAGUUCGGAUUGCAGGCUGCAACUCGCCUGCAUGAAGCCGGAAUCGCUAGUAAUCGCGGAUCAGCAUGCCGCGGUCGAAUACGUUCCCGGGCCUU